GACGAACGCUGGCGGCGUGCUUAACACAUGCAAGUCGAACGAAGAGCGACGGAAGCUUGCUUCUAUCAAUCUUAGUGGCGAACGGGUGAGUAACGCGUAAUCAACCUGCCCUUCAGAGGGGGACAACAGUUGGAAACGACUGCCAAUACCGCAUACGAUCUAACCUCGGCAUCGAGGAUAGAUGAAAGGUGGCCUCUACAUGUAAGCUAUCACUGAAGGAGGGGAUUGCGUCUGAUUAGCUAGUUGGAGGGGUAACGGCCCACCAAGGCGAUGAUCAGUAGCCGGUCUGAGAGGAUGAACGGCCACAUUGGGACUGAGACACGGCCCAGACUCCUACGGGAGGCAGCAGUGGGGAAUCUUCCGCAAUGGACGAAAGUCUGACGGAGCAACGCCGCGUGAGUGAUGACGGCCUUCGGGUUGUAAAGCUCUGUUAAUCGGGACGAAAGGCCUUCUUGCGAAUAGUGAGAAGGAUUGACGGUACCGGAAUAGAAAGCCACGGCUAACUACGU
This 509-nucleotide ribosomal RNA is filed under the name uncultured bacterium. RNAcentral's name for it is "partial 16S ribosomal RNA". It matches the Rfam family "Bacterial small subunit ribosomal RNA", at positions 28 to 506 of the family's 1533-position model. The record is from RNAcentral.